UAUUAAAAUUUUGAUACCUUUAUCUUGUUAAAAACUUGUGUGGCUAACAAAAUAACCAUACAAUAACAUGUGACGUAUCACAUGUACCUCAUGGUGAUGUAUAAAGAUUCGUUUUUAACAGUAGAAAUACAUAAAAAUUUUAAAA
Gossypium raimondii (Peruvian cotton) is the source of this 145-nucleotide non-coding RNA. The record is from Rfam. NCBI's taxonomy places the organism in Eukaryota, Viridiplantae, Streptophyta, Magnoliopsida, Malvales, Malvaceae.